GGUGGAAGAAGAAGAAGAAGAAUCGGUAAUCCCUGUUGACUACUUCUGACGACGCCGACGAAGAAGAACAAGAAGAAGCACUCGCUCGCACUACUCGCACUCUCAGGACGAAGGACCAUGGCCGGACAACCGUUGUUAGUGGCACAGCAGAAGCCUUAUCCCGUACAGUUGGGCAAGGUUGCGUAUGUCUCUUUGUGGGAUGGUUGCUCCUGAUCGUUCCGCCGCCACGGAUGUCCCUAUCCCACAAUGUCACGACAGUGGCAGGGGGUGAGCAGGUCCCAUUUCGAGAAAACUACAGUUCAGUGGAAGAUUUCAACGCGUCCACUUUGAUCGCCGAGAUUCGCCUGGGCGGCGGACGAACUGUUGAAGACACUACGACUUCAUCGGUUGUUUUCCAGCGGAUACAGCGCACCGUGAACGACGAAGCCAAGACGAUACACGCUACUCCAUUGUAUUCCUAAUACAUACGUUAUGACCUGGA
This is a long non-coding RNA of Ornithodoros turicata, 481 nucleotides long. RefSeq lists it as uncharacterized. NCBI's taxonomy places the organism in Eukaryota, Metazoa, Arthropoda, Arachnida, Ixodida, Argasidae. The record is from RefSeq and is a predicted model, not a curated record. The transcript is spliced from 2 exons.